GUGGGGAAUCUUGCGCAAUGGGCGAAAGCCUGACGCAGCCAUGCCACGUGAAUGAUGAAGGUCUUAGGAUUGUAAAAUUCUUUCACCGGGGACGAUAAUGACGGUACCCGGAGAAGAAGCCCCGGCUAACUUCGUGCCAGCAGCCGCGGUAAUACGAAGGGGGCUAGCGUUGCUCGGAAUUACUGGGCGUAAAGGGCGCGUAGGCGGACAGUUUAGUCAGAGGUGAAAGCCCAGGGCUCAACCUUGGAAUUGCCUUUGAUACUGGCUGUCUUGAGUACGGGGGAGGGGGGUGGAAAUCCGAGUGUAGAGGUGAAAUUCGUAGAUAUUCGGAAGAACACCAGUGGCGAAGGCGACUCACUGGCCCGUUACUGACGCUGAGGCGCGAAAGCGUGGGGAGCAAACAGGAUUAGAUACCCGAGUAGUCC
RNAcentral lists this ribosomal RNA (425 nucleotides) under uncultured bacterium. RNAcentral describes it as "partial 16S ribosomal RNA". It matches the Rfam family "Bacterial small subunit ribosomal RNA", at positions 354 to 796 of the family's 1533-position model. The record is from RNAcentral.